Molecule: unclassified non-coding RNA, 296 nt
Filed under: uncultured Sebacinales
Lineage: Eukaryota; Fungi; Basidiomycota; Agaricomycetes; Sebacinales
Description: sequence contains 5.8S rRNA gene
Source: RNAcentral
GAACGCAUCUUGCGCUCCUUGGUAUUCCGAAGGGUAUGCUCGUUUGAGUGUCAUUGUACUCUCACUCUCCCGAUACUUUUGGAUCGGGAGUGGUGGACUUGGGUGCUGCUGCUUAACUGUGGCUCGCCUCAAAUGAAGUAGUGCAACUCUCGGUUGGACAUAGUACGGCGUGAUAAGUAUCUUCGCCGGCGCCUCAUUCGAGGGUGGCCGAUCGGGAGCUCUGUGCUUCAAACCGUCUUCGGACAAUAUCUGACAACUUGACCUCAAAUCGAGUAGGACUACCCGCUGAACUUAAG